ACAGAAUAAACAAUUUGUUAGAUAACUUGUACCUGGUUUACAGAAUAAACAAUUUGUUAGAUAACUUGUGGUCUUUCUAUACUUGUGUCUAAUUUCAUUCAGAAUUUAAAAAAAAAAAUAUCUUGAAUUUGUAAAUACUAAAGGUGUUUUAACUAUACAAGCAUUUUAGCCGGCUCCCUUUCCGCCAUCCCCCACCCCCCAAACGCAACCAGGCAUUACUACAGCCCCUACCCCAGGGAUCAUGAAAUUUAUAAUUUUGGUAGAGGCAUCCUUGCUUAUCAUUACUAAAUAUCCCUUUACAAUACUAGAAACAAAGAUCAGUUUUACAUUCCAAGAUGCAGGUUAGGGUUUUCCAAAAAAUCAUUUCUACCUGGCUCCGUAAAACAGGCCAUCUCAAUCAAUUCAUUCCGCAAAAAUAUAAUAACAGACAUUACAAGACCACCAUCAUAUAACUGUUUUGAAAAACGAUACAACAACAUUAUCCAUACAAAGCUGAGACACAAUUGUAUAUUUCGUUAUGAUCUUUAAAAACGAAAUAUUACAAAUUCUCCGGUUUGUGCAUGUGCACAUAACGAAGAUGUAUAUCAUCUCUUUUUCGCUUGUGAAAAUUACUCUAGAGCUUGACUUGGUCACUAUUGAUAUAGAAUUGUUAUUAAGCGGUGAUGUUACAUGUAAUUUGUCUCGGCGAACUAAUAUGAAUAUGUUUUUAGCUGUUCAUAAAUUUAUAGAAGAAAUUUGUAGAUUCAUCUAAUUAUUGUACAUUUUACUUCAUUAUUAUCUUGCAUGACAUAUUGUAAUAUUUUAGGAGAGGGACGUGUAAGCUGUUAAAACUUGUUCCCUAUCCUUUUGAUUUGAUCAAUAAAAUAUGUUCAAAACCAACAUUACAAUAUAUCCAGUUUGUUAUUUGAGAAGAAGAGUUUUAAAGAAUUGCAGACCAAUAGCAAUAGGUCACCUGAGUGACCAAGGUGACCUAAAAUGAUCAUUAUAAAUGGUAUUUAUAAGUUCAUUUAAGACUUUAAACUGGAUCGGAGAACAGUUACAUAAUUUAUAUUCUGAAAACGGCUCCUCAAGUAGCCAGGUAUUAACAUUUUACAAGGGGACAAAUUAGAGAAAAAAUUGGUGAAUCUCUUAUAUUCACAUUCAGAUGAAUAUUCUUAGGAUUUCCAGUUGCAUUCUAGAAAUGAGUUUGAAACAUUCAAGAAUAGUCGCUUUUUCAUUUUUGUAAAAGAUUACUAAAAUAAAAUCCACAAAUCAGAGAGAAACGCACAUGAAUCCAAGUACAGGACUGCAGUUUUAACGAUUGAAUGAUUUUAUCACACAAAUUUUGAAAAUGUUUAUAUGAAACUUAAAAGUAACAAGAGGCCCAUGGGCCACAUCGCUCACCUGAGCAGCAGUUCCUAGCAAUAAACAAGUUUGAGCAAAACUACGUGCAUCAUUAUACCAGCACUUUGAUUAAGAAAAUAUUCCAAGGUAACAACUAAAAAAUCAUUGUGCAAUUACCAUCUCCCCUUGUACAGGCCUAAUGGUCCUUCAUUUUAAACAAAUUUAAUGUAAGAAUGUUUUGUGCCAAGUUUGAUUGAAUUUAGAGAAGAAGAUUUUUAGAAGUCGCCAAUGCACUUUCACUAUCAUCUUUACUUGUAGAAGGGUGUGACCCUUCAUUUGAACAAACUUGAAUCCCAAUUACCCGAGGAUGCGUUUUGCCGAGUUUAGUUGAAAUUUGCUCAGUGGUUCUGCAGACGAUGUCGAAAAUGUAGAAAGGUUACAGACGGACAGACGACGGACAACAGAUGGUUAAAAAAGCUUACUUGAGCUUUUCAGCUCAGGUGAGCUAAAAGGUUUUAAGAGCGCAUGCUAAAAAUCAAAAUUUUCCAAAAUAUUCUUCGUAUGGGAAUAAAAUAUGAUGAAGUUGUCCAUCUAUCAGAUUCAAAAUAAAUUAUCUACAUGGAUAAAUGUUGUAAACGAAUAUGUAUAAAUCAAAGUACUGACAGUAGAGCUGGGAGUUAGUUACAAUUAUAAUAUCGAUAAAUUUGAUAUGUUCACAUCUAUUAAUCCAUCAAUGACCCGAGAACAGUUGAAGAAAAGGUUUCCUCUCAAAAACUUCUAAUUCAAUUGAAACCCCCCACUUUCUCCUAAUAAGGUGUUAAGAAUCGUGUCUAGCAAAAGAGCAGUUGAUUCUUUAGUAGCGACAAUUCGGAAUUAGGGGUAAGCAAUCAACAAAGUCGUGAAAUUUAAGUUUUACUCCACUAUCUGUAUGGAAAGUUUUUGUGUUAAUCAAAUGGAGAGAGGCAAAUUUGAUUCCUCAUACGACAGACACUUGUAUGAUUAAUUAACUAACAAAUUCUGAGUUGCCUAAAUAGGUGCUGUUUUACAAGCACGAAAUAUUCUGAUUUUACAUUCUAAAUAUGAUUGUUUUAUAUAACAUUCGAGUGAAUGAAAUGAUGUUUGUUGAAUAAUAAAUAUUUCCAAAACUUGAUCCCAAUCAAGGGAAUUCGGAAAUUAACUCUCCAUUUAGGAUAUAAAAGAAAUGAAUAGCCAGAAAAGGAUUAAUUUCAGAAUGAAAAAAAAAUAUGUAUGGGAAUGAUCUGAUGUAAACGUAACCGAAAUGGGGGGAAAAGGGAUGGGUGGGUGGGCUACCAUAUAGUAGGUUUGUAGAUUUUCCAGAGGGGGUGUAUCUGGCUAUAAACGGGGGUAAGUCCUUCUAUAUAGCCACAUUUCCGAGGGGGAAGAUCUACUGUAUGGCCAUUUCCCUAGGGGGAGAGAGAGAGAGAGAGAGAGAGAGAGAGAGAGAGAGAGAGAGAGAGAUGGCUAGGGGGAAAGGCUACUAUACAACACCGGUCUGGUGGACCUGACAACCGUUGUUCGCAAGUUACAUGCGUUUCUUAUCCGUAAACAUGCGGUUGGUGUCCAUUACAUCUUCGGUUGACCCGCUGCCAGUCCGGUAGUAGUCCGGUCGUGAUUUAUGUCCACCGGUCAUUAAUUAACGGAUGCAAACUGGACGAGUACGUACAGAAAAAGAAACGCACGAUUUCCGAUUUUUUAAGCGUAUAACAACGCAUAACUACCGUACACUAAGCGGAUUUUGAAAAUGCUCAAAACUUUCCGUCGUAUAGACCGAACAAGGAACGCUUUGGCCGAAAGAUAAAUGGACAAGAAACGCAACUUAGGAACGGAGACGAACGGGUUGAAAUUUGUGUUACAUAUGUAUCCAUUGCACGUCCGUUAACUUUAAAUAUCCGGUGAGGUCUGACUGAGAUUCGGCUCGUCAGUCCAAACAUUCAGCCGAGAUUAGUGUGAUUACUGCUUAGGACAUUCUUGUGAAACAAAUGAAUAAUCACUUUGGUUUAAAAAAAAAAAUGUUCGGUACAAUGUAAACGCGAGUUAUCUUUCUUUCAGUUAAAUACAAUCAGAAAUGGCAUCGCCUUAAUUGAUGAGAAAAGGAAGGUGUAUUAUUGUUUUUCGCCCACACAAUCAAUAAACUUUUUUCCUUUACCUAAGAAUUAAAAAAAGUCUUUCACCACUUUCCUUAUUCAUUUUCUACCUGAAAACGGAAGACUCGGGAGCGAGUGAAUCAUUCUGGAAAAGGAAAACUUUGUGCUGAUGUUUUUGCAAUUUAGAGAGGCCUUGUAUGCAAAUGUAUGCACAAAGAUAGACGACAAAAGUAUUUAGAAUUUGUCCUGCAGCUCCGAUCGAAAAACGUAACACGUCGGAGGUUUCGUAAAUUGUUUUAGUCAGAUUUACGCAGCCUUCAAAUAUGGAUGAAUCUAAUUCAGGUAAUAAUAGUACUUGUACACCUCUCUCUCUCUCUCUCUUACUCUCUCUCUCUCUCAUUGGAUCAGGGAGUUCAUACUCGAAGUUCUGAAUACAUAGUAAACUGAUUGUUGCGUAUUUUUAUAUUUUCACUUGGAGCCACAUCAUCUCAUGAAAAUUUGAAUUCAUCCUAUAGUUUGCCUGUAGUGUUAAAUAUCAGAAAUGCAUUAGAGUAUGUACAUGUUAUGUACGGUUAACAUAUUUUUGAUUGUUGUUGAAACCUAAAAAUUACAAAUAUUUUAUCAACAUUAUAUUGAAUAUACCGGCCGCUAAUUCUAAGAAAUGUUAUCAUCAAGUGAUAUCAACAAAACAAUACUCACGAGCUUGUUGUUUGUUUACAAAUAUAUAUAACGGCCGAAGCAGUAAGGGCUAGCCCCUAGUACCUAGUUACUAUAGUACUGUAAAACGAGACUUCAUCUAAUGUCGGGCGCUCAGCGAAGGAACAGUCACUAUACCAAUGUUAAAACAUCUUUUAAAAGUUGACAGGGCGCUGGGAAUCGAGAAUCGAACCCGAACCUAUAACAGGUGCUUGCCUCCGUAAAACAAAUUGUAAACAAUACUAUAUUCUAAAGUUAAGAUAGGCGUAUUGUUUACAUUUCUUUAAUGGAAGCAACCUCCUGUGGAAUCCUAGUGCUGCUGAAUGUGCCGCCGCUAUGGUACGAUGACACGAAUGUACGAUGUUACGAUGACGAUGGUAGCAUCGUUAUGAGUACAGUACCAUCGCCGCGAUGGGACGAUGAAGCGCAAUGGGAUUCCAUAGCGUUGUGUUGUGUGGCCGAGUGCCCGAACCUCUAGACUAUACCGCAACUGGUUUCACCAUACAUAUGAUACACCCACAGACACCUGAAGUGUGAGUAGCGUGUUAAUUUCCCCUUCUAGACCCAGUGAAAACAAAAUUGAACCAGUUUCACAAGUGAUUAUCUCAAAAGCUUACAGAAAGUAGAAACUUGAUAUGUGCAGAACGACUUAUGAAGGUGAUCGGCGGUGAUUGGAUAUCCAUUGGGUAAGGGGAGUGGGGGUGUAUGUGCAUAAGAUCUAAGUAACUCUAUUCCCACUGCAGGUGCCUGUGCAUAGACGACGUGUUCCAAAAAUAACUACAUUGCACUAAGCGACCGGUGCCGGCAGCGAUAGCCUAGUGUUUCGUAACCGGGGGUGGGGGUUACCGGGUUCGAAUCUUUUUUAAUUCCCACAACACGUCCAACCUAAGGCGUUUAAUUAAAAUCGACAUUGACUGUUCCGUCGCCAACAUACACAAAAGAAUAUAAAACUAUAUACAAUGUAUUAAGAUGGCCUAUACGUCGUUGUGUUUUUUCUGCAAGGGCUCUUUGCAUGAACAUAUUUAAAUGUUAGAAUUAAGUGAAGAUCAAGAAAAUGAGACAGGGUCACCACCCACAGUGGGUCCAGGGAACAUCUAUAUACUGCUAGCUAUUAGAUUUCCGAUUAACUCUGUGACAUAGUUGUUUUGGAGGCUGCAUACACGUUCUUAUCCCUGUAAUGAAAGAUAUCUUAAUUUAGUUGUCUUGUCUGUCUGAAAUGAUACUUCCUUGUUUUACUAAAAAUGUGACGCCACCCCUCUUCUCUCUAUGAAACAUUCUAUUCUACAGAACUUUGAUCGUUUCAAUGGGUUUUCGCCCUUCCGUUAUCAUUUCCUUGAUCUGCUAAAAUAUGUAAGGGGUUAAAGCGGAAUUUUAGUAACGUUUACACACACACACACACACACACACACAGAGAGAGAGAGAGAGAGAGAGAGAGAGAGAGAGAGAGAGAGAGAGAGAGAGAGAGCGUAUUUCCAAACCGUUAGGGUCUCAUGGGGCGUGACAUACAACACUUAUGAUUACACAAACAUAGCAUGACAACAGACAGAAUAAACUCUGUAUAACAAUAUGAAGUCUACAUUCCUUCAUAAACUAAAAUUUUUAGCUGUUUAAACUUAUUAUAAAUUUUAUAAGUUUAUAAUAUCGAGUCUUUAAAUAAGUAACGUAUACUGCUUAAUUUAUAUGUAGUGAUGAACUAAGCUACUAUAGGCAUGCUCAAAUUUGCUCAAAGUUAUACCAGAUAUGUUAAGGCACAUAGUAUGUAUGAGGUAUUGACAAAGAUAUGAUAUACAUAUAUGUCUUACGUAAAUAAAUUCAAUUAAGUACACACACUAUCUAGAGAUACACAUAACAAGACGCAACACGAGUCGGUAGAUAUAUAUGAACUGAGUUCCAAACAAGGAUUUUUAAAUAUAUAUAUGAAUUACUGCGAAAUGAUGUUCAUUUGUAUGUACCUGUGAAUACCUGUGCAAAAUCUCCGUUAGCUUUCGUCAUUGGUCGACUCGGAUCACGUGUUUACAUAGCUGGACGCCAUUUUCUUCGCUUGGUGGUUAGUGUCAACUUGCAGGUGCCCGUUACUGGAAAAAAAAGUUGAAGAAAUUUUUGAAGUGGAUUUAUUUUAAAUUCUGCUCGAAUUAGCAAUGGCUGAUCACAAGCCAAGAUUGUGUCACCUUGUGAAAUGGCCUGAUUUUCAGGGCUACGGAUUUAACUUACACGCAGAAAGGGGCAAAGCAGGGCAGUUCAUAGGGAAAGUGGACGACGGGUCUCCGGCCGAAGCAGCGGGUCUUAAGGAGGGGGACCGAAUCGUAGAAAUAAAUGGUACAAAUAUAGGAAAUGAAAAUCACCAGCAAGUUGUUGGGCGGAUCAAGUCGCUUGGUGACGAGGUUAAUCUUUUGGUUGUGGAUCCAGACACGGACAAGUAUUAUAAAGAUAUUAAACAAAUUGUGAGAAGUGAUCUCCCAGAAGUUGUAGAAAGGAGUGCAGUAAGGAAUGAAACCCAGGAAAAUUCAGCAGAACCAGAACCCACCCCUGAACCACAAGAAGCUAGAGACCCCUCACCAGAAAGAGAGCCUUCUCCUGAACCAGUGAGGGAGCCUUCUCCUGAACCAGUGAGGGAGCCUUCGCCUGAACCAGAGAGGGAGCCAUCACCUGAACCAGAGAGAGAACCCUCACCUGAACCAGAACGUGAACCAACACCUGAGCCACCCAGAGAACCAUCGCCAGAACCAGAAAGGGAACCUUCUCCUGAACCAGAAACCAACAAGGAAAAUGAAGAGCCAAGUGAACCCGAACCAACUGUGAUUGCAGUUAAUAGUGUUACCAAUACAGAGCCAGAUAGUAAAUAUUUAGCAAGACUUUGUAAUAUAACCAAAUGGCCCGACUUCCAGGGAUACGGGUUCAAUCUUCAUGCCGAGCGGGACAGAACAGGUCAGUUUAUUGGAACCAUAGAUGACGGAUCCCCUGCACAAGCAGCCGGUCUGCAAGAAGGAGAUAGGAUUAUUGAAGUCAAUGGUACAAAUAUUGAAAGCGAGAGCCACAGGCAAGUGAUAGAGAGAGUAAAGGCUGGAGGAAAUCACACCACGUUACUAGUGGUGGAUUCAGAAGCUGAUGAAUACUUCAGAAAGAAUGGAAUAUCCAUAUCAGCCUCAUCACCCAUAGUCACGAAGCUGUCAAAUCCUGCCAGAGGAGGUAAGGAAUUCUGUUGUUAUUCAGUUCUGUAAUUGGGGAUAUAUAUUUUAGCUUAAUGAAAUUGUCAUCUCAGAUGUUGGAAUUUUUUAAUGAUUUGCUUUCCAUUAUGGAUUAUGUAAUGACUUGUUAGAAUUACUCAAUCCAUUUUCUGACUUGCACAUGUGUAUACAUUCAUCUACAUGUAUGUGCAUUUAGUGGAGGGACAAAUAUGUAAUGAUGCAUUGUCUAAACAUAAACAAAAUUCCUCAUCUAAGCCAAACAUUUGAAUUUUGAUUUUAUUUUGAAAAAUGCGCUAUAACCCCCCCUCCCCUUCUCACCUCAUGAUUUCAAACACCUAGAUACAAAAUGAGGGAAACUCUGAAUACUGUGUACAUUUAUUUAUCUUCUCCCUCUCAUACAUUUAUUUUUCUUCUCCCUCUCCCUUUCAUACAUUUAUUUUAUCUUCUCCCUCUUAUACAUUUAUUUAUCCUCUCCUUCUCAUACAUUUAUUUAUCUUCUCCCUCUCAUACAUUUAUUUAUCCUCUCCCUCUCAUACAUUUAUUUAUCCUCUCCCUCUCAUACAUUUAUUUGUCUUCUCCCUCUCAUACAUUUAUUUAUCCUCUCCCUCUCAUACAUUUAUUUAUCCUCUCCCUCUCAUACAUUUAUUUAUCUUCUCCCUCUCAUACAUUUAUUUAUCUUCUCCCUCUCAUACAUUUAUUUAUCCUCUCCCUCUCAUACAUUUAUUUAUCCUCUCCCUCUCAUACAUUUAUUUAUCUUCUCCCUCUCAUACAUUUAUUUAUCUUCUCCCUUUCUUUACCUUUUUUUCUUAGUUCCUACCUCCUUCCUUCCCAAACCAUUUCUCCUCUCAGGGCUUGAAGCUAACUUUUUAUGUCACCAGUCCAGUCGGACUGAUGGGGUAUAAUUUCAACCAGUCCACAGAAAAUUUUACCAGUCCAACAGAGUUUUCCAGAAAUAAUUAAACAUAUUUCAUUAAUGUUAUUAAAAUGAAAUUAAACUCAAUAUGUCGAUCUCAGAUAAUAUUGUAACACUUUAAAAAUGUGGGAUUUAUAUUUAUGAAUCAGCUUCGUCUGAUAUCUACAGAUCGAAGCAUGCCAAAUGUGUGUAUAAAAUUUCAUAAGUAUAUUUUCCAAAAUGAUGCUUUAGAAAAUUAACCAGUCCCAUCGGACUGACUAGAACAAAUGUCAGUCUGUCCGCCAGACUUUUAACCAGUCACAGACUGACGGGCAUAUGUUAAUUUCGAGCCCUGCCUCUUAUCUAUUACUAUGGCCACCCUGCCAUAAUAACUUUGAAAAGUUAAAGAAUCGUCAAAUUUGUAAAAAGUCUUCAUCAUGGUUUUAUUUCCUCUGUUUAAAACCACCAAGUAUAAUCAAUAUUGAGAGGAAUGUGGUGACAUAGAGGGAUGGUUGAAGAUGAACAUUUGGGAGUGAGGAGAGGGGGGUGUUUAUAGCCAUUCUUAUUUAAUAUCAUCUCAUUUGAAUUUGCAUCAGAAUUGAUUGUUUAAAUACAUGUGUUACUUAAAAAAACACUUAAACUAAACGGUUUUUUUAAAAUUCAACACAACACAGGUGCUCAGUAUCUGUCAAGUGUUAGGGAUCCUUAGUACCAUUAGAUAUGUAUUUAUCAUUUUAUAAUUGUGGAAGUGACGGACUGGGGAUAUAGAACAUGAUCAUUAUCAGGAAAAUAAGUAACAAUUGUAAAUGAACUGUCCAUUGUUUUUGAGGGGAUUGGCAGGGAUUGAUAAUGUGAUAAUCGUGAAGUAGUUCUGACUAGUCCGUCUAGUGCUGCCAGCUAUAAUCACCGUCAUUGACACCCUGACAAAUUAUGAACUCCUCUGUGAACAAUGAGAUAUCAGAGGAUGAUUUAAUAGUAUUUACGUACUUUGUGUUGUAUACAGACUCAAUACAAAAGUAAACCUUUCACCAGCAGUUGUUGGAAACAAUACAAUAGUGUCAUGUGCAACAGAUGUGUAAUGUCACAAUGCAUUUACUUGAACAAUGUCCAGAUCAUAUUAAAAUAAAAGGGAACUAGAUUAAAAAUAGACACCCUUUCAGGAAGGGGAAAAGGGAAUAAUAUCAUGAAAAGGACAUAAAUCCCGGCCUGUUUUAGAAGCACUGACUAGAUGUUUUCCUAUUGGAGAUGCACAUGAUGUUCUUAGCUCAUUGUGAUAUGUAAAGUUAACAACAUAUGCUGACCAAAUACAUGGGGAAAAAAUGCUAUGUUGGGUCAGCACCAGCCCCGGUCAAUGGAACUACG
This is an RNA transcript of Ostrea edulis (European flat oyster), 9563 nucleotides long. It is a transcript of the gene named Na(+)/H(+) exchange regulatory cofactor NHE-RF1-like, with no coding region annotated. The record is from RefSeq and is a predicted model, not a curated record. The transcript is spliced from 3 exons. NCBI's taxonomy places the organism in Eukaryota, Metazoa, Mollusca, Bivalvia, Ostreida, Ostreidae.